GAAUAGCUGCCACCGGGUAGCGAUGCUUUGAGGCAUCCGUGUGCGUAUCGUUAGGUCUUUGAAGAUACGCAUGGCGGGUGCCUUUCUUAU
RNAcentral lists this non-coding RNA (90 nucleotides) under unclassified sequences. The record is from RNAcentral.